Long non-coding RNA from Drosophila elegans, 613 nucleotides. RefSeq lists it as uncharacterized. NCBI's taxonomy places the organism in Eukaryota, Metazoa, Arthropoda, Insecta, Diptera, Drosophilidae. The transcript has 2 exons. The record is from RefSeq and is a predicted model, not a curated record.
CAGUUAAGUGACCACGUGCACGUGUGAAACUACAUUUCAUUGUGACAUUUUUUGUGUGACCACGUAUGCUUGUGAAGCCAAUUAUGCUAAUUAAGUAAUCACGUCCACCUGUGAAACAACCCUUGAUCCACUCCUCCAUUUAAUUCAUUUAAAUUUCUUUUUGACCCACGAACCUUACCGUCAACUACUUAACUAAGAUCCAUCGCUUCAUCCCUCUGCUCACCCCGUUUAAUAAUUCAGACGCAUACACCUUUGAUGACACUUUUAUAACUACUACUACUCAAAUUUCUGAUAAUGGUUUAGGUUUUCCAACACCUAGUGUCUUGAGCUCUCUUUUUCUUAUUUAAAUAUUAAAAUUUAAAUUAGUGAAUUAGAUCCAUAACUAUUUUCCGUAAUGAUUUAAAUCCUUCAAUUUUCAUUUCAUCCAUAAAGGUUUUCCAAAAACACAUUCAGAUCAAUUUCACGGAAUGGCCUACAUUUGCUCUUGUAAAAUAACGUAUGGGGUCGCAUUUCCAAUAUGUUAGUAUAGCAGUGAAUCCGGUUAAUUGGAAAUGGUUUUUGUCCAAUUAUGAAUAAGUGGUUGACUUAUAAAUACAUAUUGUAAAAUGGUAAA